RNAcentral lists this non-coding RNA (21 nucleotides) under Rattus norvegicus (Norway rat). Lineage: Eukaryota; Metazoa; Chordata; Mammalia; Rodentia; Muridae. The record is from RNAcentral.
UAUGGAUAGUAAAACGGUAGC